This 292-nucleotide ribosomal RNA is filed under the name uncultured bacterium. RNAcentral describes it as "partial 16S ribosomal RNA". It matches the Rfam family "Bacterial small subunit ribosomal RNA", at positions 505 to 796 of the family's 1533-position model. The record is from RNAcentral.
GUGUCAGCCGCCGCGGUAAUACGUAGGGUGCAAGCGUUAAUCGGAAUUACUGGGCGUAAAGCGUGCGCAGGCGGUUUUGUAAGACAGAGGUGAAAUCCCCGGGCUCAACCUGGGAACUGCCUUUGUGACUGCAAGGCUUGAGUGCGGCAGAGGGGGAUGGAAUUCCGCGUGUAGCAGUGAAAUGCGUAGAUAUGCGGAGGAACACCGAUGGCGAAGGCAAUCCCCUGGGCCUGCACUGACGCUCAUGCACGAAAGCGUGGGGAGCAAACAGGAUUAGAUACCCCCGUAGUCC